This 277-nucleotide ribosomal RNA is filed under the name uncultured bacterium. Its description in RNAcentral is "partial 16S ribosomal RNA". It matches the Rfam family "Bacterial small subunit ribosomal RNA", at positions 28 to 307 of the family's 1533-position model. The record is from RNAcentral.
GAUGAACGCUAGCGGCAGGCUUAACACAUGCAAGUCGAGGGGUAUUGGUUUUCGGACCAAGAGACCGGCGCACGGGUGCGUAACGCGUAUGCAAUCUACCUUUUGCAGAGGGAUAGCCCCAGAGGAAUUUGGAUUAAUACCUCAUAGUAUAGUACUUUGGCAUCAAGGAACUAUUAAAGUCACAACGGCAAAAGAUGAGCAUGCGUCCCAUUAGCUAGUUGGUAAGGUAACGGCUUACCAAGGCUACGAUGGGUAGGGGUUCUGAGAGGGAGACCCU